UGUUUCUUGCUCAUGUUGCCCAGUAUGCUCUAUAAAUCCCACAAGCAGGCCAGCUGUUUAUCAUCAAGCUGUCACAGAGAGUGCUAUGGCCAGGACCCCACAGUGGGUACUAAACGUGUGAUAUUUUUGGUAUGUACCAGCUAAGGCCUCUACGCACCUCAUGAAACAGGCAUCAAGUAAACAAAUUAAUUUACGGGGAACAGUCAGAGGUGUGAGCAGAACUUGGGUUUCCCAUCUGUAGAAUUCUGCUGCCACAGUUUGGGAGGUGUCACUGAGGAAGGAGUUUCAAACCCAAUCCUAUCAUUUGUACUCAUACAGUGUGAGGGUGGUGCUUACACUAACUGCUCCACUAAUGCUGCAGGAUUUUUGGCUUUCAUUUUUGUGUCACAUUUACGGCUACUGCUGAUAUGUAGUCUGCAUAGAAAAAAAGGUUACCAAUUCAGAGCUGUGGAUAGUCUCAUUUUUGUGGGUGGGAAAAAAAAAAAUUGUGUGUUGAUGAGGAAAAGAAUUUCUAUUAAAGCAAGUUUGUACUGCGAAUCUAUGCAGAAUCCUACAAAUCCUGUGAAACUGAGGUUUGCACAGUGCAAGUUUCAGCAGACUGAAAAGCCUGAAGACCUGAGGUUAUGGUGAGGAUGUUCAUGUGAGGCUGGACAGCGUCUUUUUCUUACCUGCUCAGAUAGGAGAUUGAAGGCUCUUCAUGAUGGGCUUUGCCUUGCACCUCAGGUACAGAUCCUGCUUACUCCCACCAUUGUGUAAUUUUGUGUGUUA
RNAcentral lists this long non-coding RNA (768 nucleotides) under Gallus gallus (chicken). RNAcentral describes it as "lncRNA (ENSGALG00010025622.1)". The record is from RNAcentral. Lineage: Eukaryota; Metazoa; Chordata; Aves; Galliformes; Phasianidae.